GGGAAGGUGGCUCAGUGGUAGAGUGCUUGCCUUGCAUGCAUGAGGCCCUGGGUUCGACUCUUCAGUACCA
Non-coding RNA from Dipodomys ordii (Ord's kangaroo rat), 70 nucleotides. Lineage: Eukaryota; Metazoa; Chordata; Mammalia; Rodentia; Heteromyidae. The record is from Rfam.